RNAcentral lists this ribosomal RNA (443 nucleotides) under uncultured bacterium. RNAcentral describes it as "partial 16S ribosomal RNA". It matches the Rfam family "Bacterial small subunit ribosomal RNA", at positions 338 to 795 of the family's 1533-position model. The record is from RNAcentral.
CCUACGGGAGGCAGCAGUGGGGAAUAUUGGGCAAUGGAGGAAACUCUGACCCAGCAACGCCGCGUGAAUGAUGAAGGUCUUCGGAUUGUAAAGUUCUUUUCUAAGGGAAGAAGAAAGUGACGGUACCUUAGUAAUAAGCCUCGGCUAACUACGUGCCAGCAGCCGCGGUAAUACGUAGGAGGCGAGCGUUAUCCGGAAUGACUGGGCGUAAAGGGUGCGUAGGUGGUUUGGCAAGUUAGUAGCGUAACUCCAAGGCUUAACCUUGGAACUACUACUAAAACUGUUGGACUUGAGUGCAGGAGGGGCAAGCGGAAUUCCUAGUGUAGCGGUGGAAUGCGUAGAUAUUAGGAAGAACAACAGAGGCGAAGGCAGGUUGCUAGACUGUAACUGACACUGAGGCACGAAAGCGUGGGGAGCAAACAGGAUUAGAUACCCGAGUAGUC